RNAcentral lists this long non-coding RNA (222 nucleotides) under Linum usitatissimum (flax). Its description in RNAcentral is "long non-coding RNA (LUSI_LNC000248)". The record is from RNAcentral. Lineage: Eukaryota; Viridiplantae; Streptophyta; Magnoliopsida; Malpighiales; Linaceae.
CCGAUCCCCUCUGCCCUUUCUGCAACGAAGGCUUCCUCGAGGAAUCGGAAAACCCUAACCCUACCCCCACCAAUCCUUUCCUUCAGCCGCCGCCGCUCCCCUUCUCUGACCCCUUCCAGGAUGCCUACUCCUCCAUCCUCCCUCUACUCUUCUCCUCCUCCGCUGGUCAUCCUAGCCUCGAUUUCGGAAGCCCUAACAUCUUCGGUGGCGGUCAUCAGCCUG